This 233-nucleotide ribosomal RNA is filed under the name uncultured bacterium. RNAcentral describes it as "partial 16S ribosomal RNA". It matches the Rfam family "Bacterial small subunit ribosomal RNA", at positions 118 to 354 of the family's 1533-position model. The record is from RNAcentral.
UAGAGAAUCUGCCCUGUACUGGGGGACAACAGAGGGAAACUUCUGCUAAUACCCCAUAUGAGCGUACCUGCGAUGGUAUUCUUGAAAGUUCCGGCGGUACAGGAUGAGUCUGCAUCUGAUUAGCUAGUUGGUGGUGUAAUGAACUACCAAGGCGACGAUCAGUAGCUGGUUUGAGAGGAUGAUCAGCCACAAUGGGACUGAGACACGGCCCAUACUCCUACGGGAGGCAGCAG